GACGAACGCUGGCGGCAUGCCUAACACAUGCAGGUCGAACGGAGAUUACUUCGGUAAUCUUAGUGGCGAACGGGUGAGUAACGCGUGGGCAACCUGCCCUCUAGAUGGGGACAACAUCCCGAAAGGGGUGCUAAUACCGAAUGUGACAGCAAUCUCGCAUGAUGAUGCUGUGAAAGAUGGCCUCUAUUUAUAAGCUAUCGCUAGAGGAUGGGCCUGCGUCUGAUUAGCGAGUUGGUGGGGUAACGGACUACCAAGGGGAGGAUCAGUAGGCGGACGGAGAGGAUGAACGGCCGCAUUGGGACUGAGACCCGGCCCAGACUGCUAGGGGAGGCAGCAGUGGGGAAUCGUCCGAAAUGGGCGAAAGACUGACGGAGCAAGGCCGCGUGAGGGAUGAAGAAAUUCGUGCCGUAGAGGUCUUUUGUUUAUGACGAAUGUGCAGAUUGUAAAUAAGAAUCUGUAAUGACGGUAGUAAACGAAUAAGCCACGGCUAACUACGUG
RNAcentral lists this ribosomal RNA (498 nucleotides) under uncultured bacterium. Its description in RNAcentral is "partial 16S ribosomal RNA". It matches the Rfam family "Bacterial small subunit ribosomal RNA", at positions 28 to 507 of the family's 1533-position model. The record is from RNAcentral.